Molecule: long non-coding RNA, 6156 nt
Filed under: Cricetulus griseus (Chinese hamster)
Lineage: Eukaryota; Metazoa; Chordata; Mammalia; Rodentia; Cricetidae
Description: lncRNA (ENSCGRG00015030091.1)
Source: RNAcentral
UGUGUCAAUCCCAGGCCAUGGAAUGAUUUCAGUGGAAGAUUAGGCUCCAAGAAGCCAGUCCAGUCUCUAUGCUCAUUCAACCUGGAGCUGAGUUUUACUUCCAUCAUUUGGAGUAGUCUGUCUGGGAAACUGUGUUCACCUGGCUCAACUUCCUUGACCUUAAGAUCCUUCCGUUUUAAAUCCAGACUUCAGUUUAUUGAGGUGUCACUUAGAGUCACUCCUUGUAAGUGGUAGAUUUUGACGAACAUACCCAUCAACACAGCGUAACUACAGCCCUUGCAUUUUCUGCUCAGAAUAACGUUUUCCCAUUCCUAUUAUUUUGAAGUUUCCAGAUCCUCAUUUAUGAAACAAGGCUGACUUUUUUCAUACUCCUGAGUACAGCCAACAUGUUAAAAUGUAAGGUUUUAAUUGUGAUAAAAUUCACAACUUUCUUCUUUUACGAAUUAUACAUUUGGUGUCUUUUCUACAAAAUCUUUUGUUAGACAAAAGAUCACAAAUUCUUUCUCUUAAGUUCUUUUUCAGAUUUUUCUUUGCUUUAAUUUUAUUUUGAAACUCAUUUGUGUGAGUGUACCUGUCACAGUGUGUGUGGAGGUCAGAGACAACUUUCAUGAGUUGUGUUACCCACACCAGCCUAUAAAUUUGUUGAAGUGAAUUGAAUCUCUCAGAAUACAUGGGUGUAUUAAAGCCACAUCAAGAAACCCAGGUCCCGAUAUGUAGUUGACACAAUGCACCAAGGGAAGGGUGUAACUCCCUCACCUGCACCCAGGAAGAAAUGCACCGCUAGUACUACGAUGGCAGCUGCCCCCAGUGACGGAUCAUCUGACCUCCUGGGUGUGAGUCGAGGGAUCAACAGGCAGAGAAUUCCCAGCAGUCACAAGGGCUUCCACAUGACUUUGUUCCGAAAGUUGAUGUGGUCUGUCCACUGCUUUGUCCAUCCUCCUGCUUAUCUGUGUGGACCUGUCUGGACUCAUUUGUCUCUAGACCCAGCCUCACCUUUCACUUCCCCAAUAGGAUUCAACUUCACAGCUCAACCAGCAGUCCGUAUGUGACUCUAAGGUAGCUAUGACUGUUUCUCCAGCUGCUGCGGUCAGCUAUCUCACCCAUCUGGCCCUAUCUGCAUGUCUAUCACUUUCCCUGUUUCUUGGGACUUCAGAAACCUCUUAAACUCUGCUGCAGUCUCAGAACUCUUUGUAGUCAGUCACUUUGUCACUAUAUAUAUAUAUAUAUAUAUAUAUAUAUAUAUAUAUAUUGUGAAAUAUGUAAUGUGUGACCUGAGAGUUAAUAUUAGUAAUUAAGUUUUCAUUAUUGUUAGUUUUAGACAAGUUAAUAUACUCUUAUACAUACCUGGGAAGAGAGAAUCACAAAUGAGUAAUUGUCUCUGUCAGAUUGGCCUGUGGGUAUGCCUGUGUGGCAUUUUCUUGAUUGCUGCUUGGUGUAGAGGGGCCCAGACCUACCAUGGGGCAGUGCCAAACCUGGGCAGGUGGUCUUGGGUUCUAUGAGAAAACAAGCUGAGCAAGCCACAAAUAAGCAAACUAAUAAACAAAUUUCCUGCAGGGCCUCUGCUUCAGUUUCUGCCAUUGUGUCCCUGCCUUGAGUUCCUGCCCUGACUUCCCUCAGUGUAGACUGUGAUGGGAAAAUAAUGUGUAAUGAUAUGUAAGGUGAAUAAACCUUUUCCUCCCCAAAUUGCUUUUUAGUCAAGAUGUUUUAUCACAGCAGAAGAAAACAGGACAGAUUGAAAUUCUAAACACCCUGUUUGCCUCGACAUAUUGUCAAGGAAAAACAGACCAUGUGGCAAAUUGCUGUCAAAAAAAAAAUCAUCGACCCUUGCAAAUUUGUUAUGCAAUAAAUUCUGACACUGUGGGAUGACACGAACAUGUUCAUCUGUGUUUCUGGCAUAGUAGUUGCAUGACCUUCAGUGCACAUAUUUAUUUCAAAAUCUGACAAAAUGGCAAUUAUGUGCCCAAAGAACUGUGUGUUAGCCAUUCCCCAGGGACACUGUCACUGCAGCAUGGGAGAGUCCUGUGAGUGAACAGCCCCCUUCAGAGUUACAAGGUUAGUGAUGCUGCUUCUACUAGGGGCUAUUUUCAGCUGCUCAGUAUCUGGCCAGCAGAACCCAAAGCCCCUGAGCACGGAUGCAGUCUUUUGAGUAGCCUCCACUGAAUAAGUGUUUGUGGAAUGGAUGAGUGGAGGUCCCACAGGGCCAUGCAUUUAUCAUUGUGCUCAGAAUCUUGCACUAGCUCAUUCCUUAUCCUGCCUUUGCAGACACUGUUUCAAUGGGGAAAAUAAGCCUUCAGCCAGGAGGCACCAUUAUCUCCCUUGCUUCAUCCAACCUCUGCUGUGAAAGGCACAGAGCUAAGAAGAAGCAUGCAGCAUCUUUCUGCACAGGAUUUGGGCCCUUUCAGUGUUGUGUUGUUGAAGUGUCUGCAUGCCAGAUAAUGUGGUUAGUCAAUGAGCUUCUAGACACAUCUAUGGUGUCCUUCAGGCUUAAGGGAAGCAGUUGAAGGUUGCUUACCAAAAUUACUCAUACAUUCUGAUACUUAAUACCCAAAUGAAACUCUGGCAGGUACCUGCUCCUGUUUAUUGUGAGAAUCCAUUGGCCCCCUGAACACACCUGAGCUUUGGCAUUCUCUAGCUACCCCGCUAUUUAUUCUUAGAAGUUAUCUGGAGGCUGGAAUGGAGUCAUGACAGAAUAUGGUCCAAUACAAGAGGCAGCCUGUAUUGUUUGCACAAGGAAGAGCAUCGUUAUUUCAAGGCAUCAGAAUACUUAUAGUCCACAGCACCUCAAUGUGCCAGCCUGUGAGGAGGCCAGGUCUCUUCUGGACAGUUGGCCACAGUCUCUGGACUCUGGGAAAAUGUAGAGAAUGACAUCUUUCUCUGUGCCUGACCCAUGAUUCAACUGUAAUCUUAGGGCAGGUACCUUAGCCUAUGUAGCGCCAACAAGGCAGACUCAACCACCUCUUGAAUAUACUAGUUUAAAAAGGAAGUAAUGAUGAAAACCAGAGAGUGGAGAAUCAGUCAGUGGGGCCAACUGAGAAGAACAGAUGAAGGAGCCCAGAGACUAAGUUUAUCUUUGGGGUACAGACACGAGCUUAGGCUUAAACAUAGAAAGAACUGGAGUAUACAUUAGUCAUCCUGGACAAAGCGUGGUUCUAUUCAUCAGUAUCUCAGCCACCAUCUUGCAAGCUUGAGUGUUCAUGUCUGUCAUCCUCUGAGAGUGAUGCUUGUGUAGAGCUCAUCAUCUUCAUCACAGAUCACUGCUCUCAUCCUAGGGGUCUAUCCUGACCUUCCUCACGUAGAGGUGGCUUCAGUCCUUUGUCACAAAGAUGUUGAUUGACCUAUCCUUCUGUUCUUGGAACCCGAGCUGUCUCAAGAGCUGCAAGCCUACAGUUUUCCAGGAAUUUCACCCAGAAAUCCCAUGUACAGCCACGAACCCUGAACUGGCCUGAAUCGAGGUCCCUAAAGGAUGAAGAAAACUCAUCAGGCUGUCAAGAGUGACUUUGGGGUAACCUGAAUCCAUCUUUGAGGGCCAUCACCGGCUAUGUGGUUCAUCCUUGAACCACACAUCCCUAUGUGGAUGGCCCCUCUUUCAGAACAUUAUUAUGACACUGCCAUUCUUGAGAUUACAGGCGGCUUUCCCAGAGCAUCACUCAUUAUCAACAGUCAACUUGACAGAACCUGGGACCGUAGAAGAGGCAAGUCUGGGGAUGUCUGCAAGACAGUUUCUAGGUUGUGUUAACUGAGAUGGGUCUUCAGACCCACCUUAAAUGUGAGAGGCACCAUCCCAUGGACUGGAGUGCUAGACUGAAUAAAAAAGGAGGGGUGAGCUGAACACCAGCAUUCAUCUCUCCUGGCUCCCCAGCUGCAGACACAGUGUGACCAGCUGCCUCUGCUCUUUACCAUGAUGGACACAUGACAUGCUGUCUCUGCUCUCUCCACCAUGGUGGAACUUGAGCCAAAAUAAAUCCUUCCUUCUUUGUAGUACUUUGUCAGAUACAGUGUAGUGACAAAGCUGCAGCUAAGAGACCGGUGUCUGCAUGCUGCUCACACCUGUCAGGACUCAGGCUUUGACUCCAGUAGCUCCAGUAACAGCUUUCUUUUUGCCUUCCCCUCAACAAAACCUUCCUCUAAGGGUUAUUAUUUCGCAGAGAACCCCUACUUUAAAGGAAUCCAUAGCGUGGAGAAUGUAUAAAAAUGAUGAUUUCUAGGACCACAAAUGUUUGCCUGGCUGUGUAACAAGGGUGUUGCAUUGGCUCACUUUCCUACCAUGGAAUACAGUCAUGGCCAGGCCAACACCAACUCAAAAGAAGACAAGGCCUGAAGGCAGCAUGGCUAGGAUGCCAGCAGCAGAAUACUGGAGUUACCAGGAAAUGAUGACAAGUACAAGUGCCCAUGCCCUGCCUAUAUACAUAGUGGGCAAUGACAAGAACCCCCUCCUAGGUCUUGAGUGACAUAUUGAUUUUGGAGUUUAGAGCAAGUGUGGAUGGAGGCCGGAGAGAGCUGGCUGCAGACACUGUGGUGACUUUCAGCCAAGCCUGGAGGGGUUUCCAGAGCCCAUGCUAGAAGGUUUUCAUGCAUGGCAGAGGUUUCCAUGAUUGCGUUGCCUGCCUUUCUGCAGAACGACACACUGACAGUCACUCUCCAAGCUUAUUAGUCACUUGCAAUUUUCAUGAAGGAGUUUAGUUCUAAUCUAGGGAAAAAAACAUAUAUAAGGUAGCAAUUUCAUAAAGCAGGACCCAAAUUGUGCACCAAGGAAUGAAUCCUCACAGGAGAUCCAGAAACUGGUAAAAGGCAAGUCCACAUGCAUCAAAGCCCAGCAGACAAGAAAUGCUUGGAUCCUUGGCUGAGUCCACACUGGCCAAGCUAGAACCACUUCUGCUCUCUGUCUCUUAUGUCAUGCUUCUUGUCUCUGGGCUCCAUGUUGCUGCAAUCCCUGCUCCAACUACAUUCUUUACUAACCUGAAUGAAAAUGUCUAUGUUCAAGGACAUCAGGCCCAGGCCUGGCAAAUCACAGCUGCACCAUGGGCCCUACUGCUCCACUUCUCACAAGCUGCUUUUUAAUCACUUCUGUUUCAAAUCUAACCCAAGUGGAGAAGACAUGAAAAGAAAAUGUAAGCUGUACUCUAAUAGAUUUUGGAAUUGGAGGCAGAAGCAGCAGGCAUCUGAUUGCUGUCCUGUGCCCAUAGGAAGGGCCAGUUCUCUUGGCAGAGAAAACCUGGUUUCUGACUCUGAGAGAUAAUAAAGGCUAACAGCCUAUGCUGUAGUGUAGGGGUGGCACUUAGAUGUGGGCAUUCUGCUUGAGGACUGGGGUGCCAGAGCAAAGGCUGUGUCAGUAUUUAAAAUUGUAAGCAGCCUCAUAGAAAAUGUGUAUUUUUCAUGUACUUUAUCGAGUGAAUUCCUCCUAUAUAUUUUUAUACAUGGAAUGUUUGAUGUGCACUCCCCCAGGUAAUUUGCUCCCAUAAUUGGCAAUAAAUGUUAGUUAAAUUUAAUAUAUUAGUGUUGUGCUGGAUAGUUUUAUGUCAACUAGACACAGCUAGAGUCAUCAAGGAGGAAGGAGCCUCCAUUGAGGAAAUGCUUCCAUAAGAUCCAGCUGUAAGGCAUUUUAUUUUCUUAAUUAGUGAUCAAUGGGGAGGGCCGAGCCCAUUGUGGAUGGUGCCAUCUCUGGGCUGGUGGUCCUAGGUUCUGUAAGAAAGCAGGCUGAGCAAGCCAUAGGGAGCAAGCCAGUAAGCAGCACCCUCCAUGGCCUCUACAUCAGUUUGUGCUGGUUCUUCCCCUGUUUGAGUUCUUGUCUUGACUCCUUUGAUGAUGAACAGUGAUAUGGAAGUGGAAGCCAACUAAACUCUUUCCUCCCCAACUUGAUUUUUGAUUGCAAUAGAAACCCAAACCAAAAUAAAUAUUUCCAGACAAUAUCAUUUUAAUUUUUGUGUAGAUUUACGCAUAUAUGAUGUGCAUGCAUACAUACAUGUGUUUAUAUGUAUGUGGAUAUACAUGUUUGGUUGGCACCAAGUUGAUGCCUAGUGUCUUCCCAAUCUCUCUCAACCUUAUAUACAGAGGCAGGGUCUCUCACUUAAACAUGGAGUUAUCCCAUUUUGUUAGUCUAGCUAUCUUGCUCACUCAGGGGAUCUCCUGUCUCUCUUCUCCAUCACUGGCCUUACACAG